CACGGGGGCAAGGCGGUGCAGCUCCACACGGAACGUGCCUAGCUUAGCUUCGCCUACCUAGGUAGCUGCCUGCCGGGCCCUAUAAAUCCCUCGCGCCGCGGCGAGCUGCGGAGGGAAUAUCUCGGCGAGCUGUCUGUCCGUCCGUCGUGUUUCACAAGCUCUCGAAAUUUGGUCGCCUCAUUCACAGCUAGCUAGCCCCGCGCUCGUGCUGCCUGCCGGCCGGUCAUGUCGACGACGACGCAGAGCGCGGCCCUGUCGGCGAAAUGCGCGGCGUGGGCGCAGGAGCGGCGGCCGUUCACGCACCCGAUCGAGAUCCCGGCGGCCUCCGGCGCGCCGGACGAGCGGAGGGGCCGCGGCGAGGAGGAGGACGGCGGGGAGGUGGAGCCGCCGCACGUGCUGAUGGCGCGGCGCAGGGCGGCCUCCUCGGUGUGCUCCGGCCAGGGGCGGACGCUCAAGGGCCGGGACCUCACGCGCACGCGCGACUCCGUCCUCCGCAUGACCGGCUUCAUCGAGAGCUAGCCCGUCCUCCGCCCGUCUCGUUCGUCGCCAACGGCGCGCGGCCGGGCUCAAGGUCUUCUUGGGUCGAUCCAGUUUGUGUAGAGUAAAUAAGAUAGCUACGGAGCCUAGGGGCGAAUGCCGCUGAAUUUUCUUCAAUCGGUCCCAUUUGUGAAUUGGUUGGAAUUGGAAGAGCGAGAUGAAAUUAAAUCCGUUGGUGUAAAACUUAUUCUGUUUGUACGCGCGCGCGCGCGUGUGUGACAUAUACUACUCCAUAUGUAAAAAAUAAUAAGUACAUAUGGUCAAAAUGCAAAUGCAAUGUGGUUUCUUUGUACUGCGCUCCAUCUACACAUCGCUGAGUCGCUGCUGAUUCAGUAACUGCGACGCGCGCGCACACUGCACCGGCAUCUCUGUGGACUCAUUCAAACAACUAUUGAAUCAGCAAUGGGUAAGUUCUGGAAAUCCCCAUGUAAGAUAACACCGGAUAGGACAAAAAUCGCUGGACGGGUUGUUGGGUAAUCAGCUUAGAGAGUCCUAGAUAUAUACCCCAUCCACCAUGUAAUACUACUACUAUUAAUACGUACUUACCCUAUCCAAAAUACACACCAAAGCUAGCUAGGGGGUUCAAGUCAAGCAAAGGACGAUGCAACGGGAAGAGCAGGAGGAGGAAGAAUUCCAUGAAGCAGACAUACUGUGGCCAGAUGCAGCCCAGGAUCCGGGCUACUCUGACGACGACGGCGACGAAGGCCAUGACGAGUACCGCCGUCCCGCCCGUCCGGCCAACGCGCCAAACCGGCAGAAACCGUCUUCCCCCAUCGACAUCCCCGGAAAGACCGGUAGGGCUACUGGUGCAAAAGCGCCGGCUCAGCAGGCCGGGUUCAGCAAGUUCGGCGCGAGCCUUGCGGGCGCCGGCGCCGGCAGCGUGAUGAUCGGCAGCCAAGUCUUCGUGCCGCCGCACGUCAUCGUCGAUCGGAGGGCCAAGAGGGACAUGGCGAUGCUGAUGCUCGUCGACGCGCCCAAGGUCCGGAGAGUGAGGGCGAUGGUGAUGCUCGAGUAGCACCGAAAGUUUUUUUUUUCCUACCGUACCGAAAGUCUUUGGUGGAAAUGUUCGUUCCAUUUCAAAUAAUUUUGAACCAUUUUGUGUAAUUGACGUGAAAGCGAGCUCCUGCUACUGUUUACCUCGAAAUGGUACAGCGAGUCAUGUAAUCCGAA
This 1707-nucleotide ribosomal RNA is filed under the name Triticum aestivum (bread wheat). RNAcentral describes it as "partial small subunit ribosomal RNA". Lineage: Eukaryota; Viridiplantae; Streptophyta; Magnoliopsida; Poales; Poaceae. The record is from RNAcentral.